CUGGUGCCAGCAGCCGCGGUAAUUCCAGCUCCAAUAGCGUAUAUUAAAGUUGUUGCAGUUAAAAAGCUCGUAGUUGGAUCUCAGGUCCCGGCUCGCGGUUCACUUCGCGGUGCUUACUGCCCGUCCGGACCUACCCGCCGGUUUUCCCUUGGUGCUCUUCAUUGAGUGUCUCGGGUGGCCGGAACGUUUACUUUGAAAAAAUUAGAGUGUUCAAAGCAGGCGCUUCGCCUGAAUAAUGGUGCAUGGAAUAAUGGAAUAGGACCUCGGUUCUAUUUUGUUGGUUUUCGGAACUCGAGGUAAUGAUUAAGAGGGACAGACGGGGGCAUUCGUAUUACGGUGUUAGAGGUGAAAUUCUAGGAUCGCCGUAAGACGAACUACUGCGAAAGCAUUUGCC
RNAcentral lists this ribosomal RNA (394 nucleotides) under Phyllodoce groenlandica. RNAcentral's name for it is "SSU rRNA". It matches the Rfam family "Eukaryotic small subunit ribosomal RNA", at positions 561 to 959 of the family's 1831-position model. The record is from RNAcentral. Lineage: Eukaryota; Metazoa; Annelida; Polychaeta; Phyllodocida; Phyllodocidae.